This 599-nucleotide ribosomal RNA is filed under the name uncultured bacterium. Its description in RNAcentral is "bacterial SSU rRNA". It matches the Rfam family "Bacterial small subunit ribosomal RNA", at positions 24 to 631 of the family's 1533-position model. The record is from RNAcentral.
UCAGAACGAACGUUGGCGGCGUGGAUUAGGCAUGCAAGUCGAACGAAUCCCUGGGGCAACUCAGGGGGAAGUGGCGAAAGGGGCAGUAAGGCAUGGGUAACCUACCCCGAGGACCGGGAUAGCCUUCCUAACGGAAGGGUAAUACUGGGCGAUCUGGUUGAGGGGCAUCUCUCGGCCAGCAAAUGAAUUUCGCCUUGGGAGGGGCUCAUGUGCUAUUAGCUAGUUGGCGGGGUAACGGCCCACCAAGGCGAAGAUGGCUAGCGGGUGUGAGAGCACGACCCGCGCCACUGGCACUGUGACACUGGCCAGACUCCUACGGGAGGCUGCAGUCGAGGAUCUUCGGCAAUGGGCGCAAGCCUGACCGAGCGACGCCGCGUGUGCGAUGAAGGCCUUCGGGUUGUAAAGCACUGUCGAGGGGGAGGAAAGCCCGCAAGGGUCUGACCUAUCCCUGGAGGAAGCGCGGGCUAAGUUCGUGCCAGCAGCCGCGGUAAGACGAACCGUGCGAACGUUGUUCGGAAUCACUGGGCUUAAAGGGCGCGUAGGCGGGUUCUCCAGUCAGGGGUGAAAUCUUUCGGCUUAACCGGAAAAGUGCCUCUGAU